AUGAACGCUGGCGGCGUGCCUAAUACAUGCAAGUCGAGCGAACGGACGAGAAGCUUGCUUCUCUGAUGUUAGCGGCGGACGGGUGAGUAACACGUGGAUAACCUACCUAUAAGACUGGGAUAACUUCGGGAAACCGGAGCUAAUACCGGAUAAUAUUUUGAACCGCAUGGUUCAAAAGUGAAAGACGGUCUUGCUGUCACUUAUAGAUGGAUCCGCGCUGCAUUAGCUAGUUGGUAAGGUAACGGCUUACCAAGGCAACGAUGCAUAGCCGACCUGAGAGGGUGAUCGGCCACACUGGAACUGAGACACGGUCCAGACUCCUACGGGAGGCAGCAGUAGGGAAUCUUCCGCAAUGGGCGAAAGCCUGACGGAGCAACGCCGCGUGAGUGAUGAAGGUCUUCGGAUCGUAAAACUCUGUUAUUAGGGAAGAACAUAUGUGUAAGUAACUGUGCACAUCUUGACGUUACCUAAUCAGAAAGCCACGGCUAACUACGUG
Molecule: ribosomal RNA, 496 nt
Filed under: uncultured bacterium
Lineage: Bacteria
Description: partial 16S ribosomal RNA
Rfam family: Bacterial small subunit ribosomal RNA
Source: RNAcentral